GCAUUGGUGGUUCAGUGGUAGCAUUCUCGCCUCCCACGCAGGAGACCCGGGUCCGAUUCCCGGCCAAUGCA
Danio rerio (zebrafish) is the source of this 71-nucleotide non-coding RNA. The record is from Rfam. Lineage: Eukaryota; Metazoa; Chordata; Actinopteri; Cypriniformes; Danionidae.